Molecule: long non-coding RNA, 370 nt
Organism: Camelus dromedarius (Arabian camel)
Lineage: Eukaryota; Metazoa; Chordata; Mammalia; Artiodactyla; Camelidae
Exons: 3
Source: RefSeq, a predicted model, not a curated record
AAAGCUGUAAGCAAGCAGUUACAGAGCGCUCCAAGAUCCCAGAGGGAGAGGUAAAGUGUUCUUCUAGAGCUGCGUGUGUGGGAAGCCUUCACAGGGACUGACACUCAAGCAAGGUCAGAAGAGAAAGCAAAAAUUUAACAAGUCAGAGGUGGAAAGAGAGGCAUGACCAGAGAAGUUCUGGGAUCGCUGUGUUUGUCAAGGUUAGAACACAAGGGACCCACUAUAUUGCAGGCUCUGUCCCAGUCAUCAGGGAGACAGACGUGCACAAAGCAGAUGAGACACCUGCCCUCCUAAGACAUUACAAGGGGAUGAAGGCAACAGAUACAGGUUACUACGAGAUAUUGAAUAAAAUUUCCUGUGCUAUAUAGAA